This 832-nucleotide long non-coding RNA is filed under the name Calidris pugnax (ruff). RNAcentral describes it as "lncRNA (ENSCPUG00000008989.1)". The record is from RNAcentral. Lineage: Eukaryota; Metazoa; Chordata; Aves; Charadriiformes; Scolopacidae.
GGACAUGGGAUCUACACGGGACAUGGGAAGGACACAGGAUGGACACAGGAUCUACAUGGGACAUGGGAUGAACAUGGGAAGGACACAGGAUCUACACGGGACAUGGGAUGCACACGAGACAGACAUGGGAUCUACAUGGGAAGGACAUGGGAUGGACACAGGAUGGACAUGGGAGGGACACGGGAUCUACACGGGAUGCACACGGAAUGGACACGGAAUCUACAUGGAACAUGGAAAGGACAGAGGAUGGACAUGGGAUGGACAUGGGAAGGACAUGGGAUGGACACGGGAUCUACAUGGGACACAGGAUGGACAGGGGAUGGACAUGGGAUGGACAUGGGAUGGACACGGGAUCUACAUGGGAUGGACACGGGAAGAACAUGGGAUGGACACAGGAUGGACAUGGAAUGGACACUGGAUCUACACGGGACAUGGGAUGGACAGGGGAUCUACACGGGAUGGACACAGGAAGGACAUGGGAGGGACAUGGGAUCUACACGGGAUGCACAGGGAAUGGACAUGGGAUGGACAUGGGAUCUACAUGGAAUAUGGGAAUGACACGGGAUGGACACAGGACAUGGGAAGGACAUGAGAUGGACACAGGAAGGACAUGGGAGGGACAUGGGAAGGACACAGGAUCUACAUGGGACAUGGGAGGGACACGGGAUCUACAUGGGAAGGACACAGGAUCUACAUGGGAUUUACAUGGGCUCUACGAUGGACACGGGAAGGACACAGGAUCUACACGGGAUGGACACAGGAAGGACAUGGGAGGGACAUGGGAUCUACACGGGACACAGGAUGGACACAGGAUCUACAUGGGACAUGGGAU